GUGCUCGCUUUUGCAGCACAUAUACUAAAAUUGGAAUGAUACAGAGAAGAUUA
Molecule: small nuclear RNA, 53 nt
Filed under: Bison bison bison
Lineage: Eukaryota; Metazoa; Chordata; Mammalia; Artiodactyla; Bovidae
Source: RNAcentral